CCUACGGGUGGCAGCAGUAGGGAAUAUUGCUCAAUGGGGGAAACCCUGAAGCAGCAACGCCGCGUGGGGGAUGAAGGUUUUCGGAUUGUAAACCCCUUUUGUUAGAGAAGAUAAUGACGGUAUCUAACGAAUAAGCACCGGCUAACUCCGUGCCAGCAGCCGCGGUAAUACGGAGGGUGCAAGCGUUACCCGGAAUCACUGGGCGUAAAGGGCGCGUAGGCGGGAUAGCAAGUCAGAUGUGAAAGGCUAUGGCUUAACCAUAGAACUGCAUUUGAAACUGUUCUUCUAGAGUAUGGGAGAGGUAGGUGGAAUUCUUGGUGUAGGGGUAAAAUCCGUAGAGAUCAAGAGGAAUACUCAUUGCGAAGGCGACCUGCUAGAACAUAACUGACGCUGAUGCGCGAAAGCGUGGGGAGCAAACAGGAUUAGAUACCCCAGUAGUC
Molecule: ribosomal RNA, 440 nt
Filed under: uncultured bacterium
Lineage: Bacteria
Description: partial 16S ribosomal RNA
Rfam family: Bacterial small subunit ribosomal RNA
Source: RNAcentral